GAUGAACGCUGGCGGCGUGCCUAACACAUGCAAGUCGAGCGGAGCGGCGGAAGGGUGAGUAAUACCUAGGAAUCUGCCUGGUAGUGGGGGAUAACGUUCGGAAACGGACGCUAAUACCGCAUACUAUAAGAUGAGCAUAGGUCGGAUUAGAUAGUUGGUGGGGUAAUGGCUCACAAAGGCGACGAUCCGUAACUGGUCUGAGAGGAUGAUCAGUCAAACGGGAACUGAGACACGGUCCAGACUCCUACGUGAGGCAGCAGUGGGGAAUAUUGGACAAUGGGCGAAAGCUUGAUCCAGCCAUGCCGCGUGUGUGAAUAAGGUCUUCGGAUUGUAAAGCACUGUAAGUUGGGAGGCGUUACCAACAGAAUAAGCACCGGCUAACUCCGUGCCAGCAGCCGCGGUAAUUC
RNAcentral lists this ribosomal RNA (407 nucleotides) under uncultured bacterium. Its description in RNAcentral is "partial 16S ribosomal RNA". It matches the Rfam family "Bacterial small subunit ribosomal RNA", at positions 28 to 526 of the family's 1533-position model. The record is from RNAcentral.